Molecule: long non-coding RNA, 228 nt
Filed under: Homo sapiens (human)
Lineage: Eukaryota; Metazoa; Chordata; Mammalia; Primates; Hominidae
Description: HSALNT0312897
Source: RNAcentral
AGUUUGAUCUCAGACUGCUGUGCUAGCAAUCAGCGAGACUCCGUGGGCGUAGGACCCUCCGAGCCAGGUGUGGGAUAUAAUCUUGUGGUGCGCCGUUUUUUAAGCCCAUCAGAAAAGCGCAGUAUUCGGGUGGGAGUGACCCGAUUUUCCAGUGAGAUGAACUCGGUACCUCAGAUGGAAAUGCAGAAAUCACCCGUCUUCUGCGUCACUCACGCUGGGAGCUGUAGA